CCAGAGGAACCAGAGAGAGCAGCAGUGAGUCCUGCUCAGAGUUUCAGAGCCUGCACAGUCAGUCAGUCCAGAGAGCCAAAGGUGAGUGGAACUAAACUUAAUCUUUUAAUUGUAACAUGGAAUGUUUUAGCAUAUCUCAUGCAUCAUGAUUAUGCCAUAGGUUGAUUGCAUUAGUAUCCACGAAUAUGUUGCAUUGCAUAGUGAAUUGUUGAUGUGGGUAAAUGCUGAAUGAUCCAAUAGUUCCAGACAGGAAGUCCAGGAGCCUUUGACUACGCCCUGGCAGUUAUAGUAAAGACCAGGAGCCUUUGACUACGCCCUGGCAAUGGUAAGUACAGAGGUGUUAUAUACACAUAUACAUAUAUGACAGGAAGACCAGGUGCUCGAUUCUACGCCCUGGCACAGAGUUACUGGGACUAUGUGGUGACAGGUUUACUCUUGAUGUGGUUUGUCUGUGUUAUGACGCAUUCCAUGAGAGCAUGUUUUACUGAGAUGUUUUACUGUUCUACUCACUGGGCUAUAGAGCUCAUCCCACUCCCUUAACCCCAGUCUUGCAGGUUCAGUGUACAGUGUACAGGGACAGUCCAGCAGAGUACAGAAAGAGUAAAAGAGCUUGUAAUAGUAUAGAGUGGACAUGUAAAUUUUAAAGAGAUGUAAUAGUUGUGUAUAAAGUUAGAGCUGUGC
This 681-nucleotide long non-coding RNA is filed under the name Manihot esculenta (cassava). Its description in RNAcentral is "long non-coding RNA (MESC_LNC001105)". Lineage: Eukaryota; Viridiplantae; Streptophyta; Magnoliopsida; Malpighiales; Euphorbiaceae. The record is from RNAcentral.